RNAcentral lists this ribosomal RNA (442 nucleotides) under uncultured bacterium. RNAcentral's name for it is "partial 16S ribosomal RNA". It matches the Rfam family "Bacterial small subunit ribosomal RNA", at positions 338 to 795 of the family's 1533-position model. The record is from RNAcentral.
CCUACGGGAGGCAGCAGUGGGGAAUAUUGGGCAAUGGGCGCAAGCCUGACCCAGCAACGCCGCGUGAAGGAAGAAGGCUUUCGGGUUGUAAACCUCUUUUGUCAGGGAAGAGUAGAAGACGGUACCUGACGAAUAAGCCACGGCUAACUACGUGCCAGCAGCCGCGGUAAUACGUAGGUGGCAAGCGUUGUCCGGAUUUACUGGGUGUAAAGGGCGUGUAGCCGGGUUGACAAGUCAGAUGUGAAAUCCUGCGGCUUAACCGGAGAACUGCAUUUGAAACUGUUGAUCUUGAGUACUGGAGAGGCAGGUGGAAUUCCUAGUGUAGCGGUGAAAUGCGUAGAUAUUAGGAGGAACACCAGUGGCGAAGGCGGUCUGCUGGACAGCAACUGACGGUGAGGCGCGAAAGCGUGGGGAGCAAACAGGAUUAGAUACCCGUGUAGUC